GAGCACGCUGGCCAGGCGUGGGGCGUGGCGGAUGUCGCUGUGGGUGAUGUGGUGGAAGGUGACCGAUUCGGCGUUCAGCUCGCCGGUGGGCUUG
RNAcentral lists this transfer RNA (94 nucleotides) under Ectopseudomonas oleovorans. RNAcentral's name for it is "Pseudomonas oleovorans tRNA-His(gtg)". The record is from RNAcentral. Lineage: Bacteria; Pseudomonadati; Pseudomonadota; Gammaproteobacteria; Pseudomonadales; Pseudomonadaceae. RNAcentral also lists the same sequence under 1 other name.